GUUUGGAACGCUCGUGGGGCGAAUCCAGGGAAAGACAGAGAUGCUAAAUUUUGCAUGACGUGGUAAGGAUCACUGAUUCAAGAUGGAAACAGAGGAGCCACUGCAUGUGUAACUGAGGAAUCAUUUCCUCCUGUGCUCAGGACAGCGGUUUCUCUGUGCUUCGCAGUUGCUAAUUGCUUUCACCCCGCACGCGUGGCCCGAUGCACUCCCUGAGUUACUGAACCUGAGGACCUGCUGCAGAUGGGAGAGCUGAGGUGCAGAGGGUUUAAGGGUUGGAUGCAACUGGGUGCUCAACAUCUAAAAGGGAUGGUGAAAUAAAUUACACAGAUCUCCGUGCAAGUCUGAUCAAGCUCUGAAAGGUGAGCUCACCCAUGACUCUCCAGCAGUGCUCAGCAGCUCCUGGGAGACGUGGAACUCUCCGUGGCCACAGAUGAUGCCAAGGGUUUAGGCAUCUUCCCCUUGCUCCUUUCUCUCUUCACUUCUUCUCCAAGGAGCUGCAUUUCAGUUUAGUGCCACGUUUGGAAAUGUGGGUUCCUGUGAUCUCUCAGAUGUGCCAACGGGCUCACUGGCAUUACAGAUAUUUUCAGAUGGAGAACACUUGAUGGACAGAUGCUGGCCACUCCCUGGCAGGGACACCCAGAGCUUCUCCUCCAAGGAACUGAGCAGAGUUCAAGACUUUCAAGACCUUUCAAGACACCAAGAUGGGGAUGGGGACUGUCCUGUUUAAUAUCACAGCCCAAUGGUCAGAGCCCUUCCUUGCAGACCUGUUUUUAACUGUCUGCCUUCAGCUUGGGUUAUUUUCUCUCCUCAUACAUCACUGUCCUGUGAAAUUUUUGAUCUUGAUCAAUUGUGGAUGCCCCAUCCCUGGAAGUGUUUAAAGCCAGACUGGAUGGGGCCCUGAGCAGGAGGCAGCAGGAGGUGUCCCUGCCAUGGCAGGAGGUGGAACUGGAUGAGCAUUAAGGCCCCUUCCAACCCAAACCAUUCUACGGUUCUAUCUAUUUGGGAUUUUGGCUUUCCAAGGGAUCGAGGCUCCCAGCCAACUUCAAACUCAGAACUCCUCAUGCCCCAGAGAGGCCACAAGCCUGAGCAGAGCUGGGGACACACCAGGCAGGGAAUGUGGAGCUGCACAACCCUACGCCCUGUGCUGAGCACCUGCAAUUAGAGAGGGGGUUUAAGCAGUCCAGUGUCAGCCAGACAGUGCUUCCCCAGUGUGGGAACCCCCAUUCCCUGCCUGUGCCCACUGAGGGGCUCACCUGUGGCUGUGGUGAAGGGGUUAAAGUGGGCUGGGCCAGUCUCCAGCUGUGCACAGCGGUGUGGGGACUGGGCUGGCCAGCUGUGAGUUCAGCUAUCCCCCAGUCAGCUAGAAAAGGGCUGUGUCUCCUGCACUGCCAUUAGAAUGGGGGGAGGUAGGUUUUUGUCAUAGGGAAGGAGGUGGAAAAAAACUGUGCUUGACUGAUUCCUUGCUGAGCAGUGUCUGGGGAGGGUCUGGGCUGUGCAAAGCUGUCCUGAGAGGUGCUCUCUUGGCAGAGGGGUUAAGAUAAGCCUGACCCACUGACUUCUUCACUUAACAUCCAGGCUGGGGAGAUGCUUGUUUAGCCCAAAAUCUUGGGUGAGGCAGUCAGCUGGAGUUCAAGAUCCAGGGACUUAAUGUCCCAUGACUGAGUGUAGCUUGUUUGACCUGUAGUGCAGAUCUUGAGAGGAGAGAGCAGGAGUGUUUUUAUGGUAUGUGCUGAGCCUGCUCUCCCUGACUCAAACACCUCCUGGAAAAUGAAUAAUUGAACAUACAUGUGACUAUGUAUAGACCCUUCUUCAAACAGAACCUGAAAUGGGGAGAAUAUCUUCCAACUUCAUAGACUUUUUCUCCUGCUAACUGCACAGGACUGGCCAUAAAAUCCAUAGGGACAUGGCUGUACAGCGAGGAGCAGCCUUUUCAGCCCACACUUUUCAGUCUGAGAAGCGGCCUUCAACUCUCAAUUCUUUAAGCUAAGCAGUGUGGUGAAUUCCUGCCUUCAAACUGAGCUGGAGUAGAAGGAGAAAACAAAUUAAUUCAGAUUAGAUUUUUUGAAAAUAUUAUUUGCCAAGCCACACUGCUCCCUGCUAAAAUCAAGUGAUGUUACUAUUGGCACAGUGGGUUUAAACUCACUACUGGGUUUUGCAUGUUUUAGUAAAGGAUGAAACUGAUUGAAUGAGAUUGUCUAUUAGUUGCAAUAGAUCAGCAGUUUCUUCUUUGUAGUGAUGCAACUGAUUGUUUGCUGAAUAAUACAGUGAGAAUAGACUCAGCAUGCAAGCCCUGUAAACUGUCUGAAGAAAAAGCAAUGUCCUUUUUUUCCCCCAAUUGCUUCCAAGCCAGUAGCUGCUUCUAAUAUUCCUGUAUCCAGUGCAAGCCCAGUGCUGUUCAAAACACACAUCUACUAUUUGUCAAGAGCUGUAAUUGUUAGGAGAAAAGGAUGUUGAGGAAAGCAGAGUGGAAACAGUAUAGGAGGGCUGGUUGUGGAACUCCUUGGGCUGAAUUUUGGGGCAGCUUGGUUCAAUUCCUGGCUCUGCUACAUCCUUGUCCUGUGACCUUGGAAAUGUCUCUCAGUCUGCUCAGUCUCAGCUCCACACAGGUGUGAAAAGAGGUAAAAAGAGGCAUCAUUUUAUGCAGUACAUACCGAAUGAAUGUCUACACUAAGUAUUAAAUCCUUUCCUGUAUUAAGUGGUAAAGUGAGAACCAAUUCUGCAGACUUGUGUGAUGCCCAGGACACGGGGUCCUGAUUUCACAGUGCAGCAAUGGCAGUGCAAACCCCAGAAUAAUUCUGUCCUUCCAAUUCUUGACAAUGUUCAUUAUCUGCAGGCUGAGUUUCAGUGGAUGCCUUUUUUUAGCCUGUACAUUAGUGGGCGAGGGAAUGAAAGGGGAGGAUCUCCCACACCAAGCAGUUUUUUUUCAGUGUAAAUACAUGUCGCAUAACAUUACGGACAAAUAAAGGG
Poecile atricapillus (Black-capped chickadee) is the source of this 2967-nucleotide long non-coding RNA. RefSeq lists it as uncharacterized. The record is from RefSeq and is a predicted model, not a curated record. Lineage: Eukaryota; Metazoa; Chordata; Aves; Passeriformes; Paridae. The transcript is spliced from 6 exons.